CUGAAAAGGGCUACAAAACUGUGAGCAAAAAUAACACUGUAGAUGAACGGCAUCCUGAAAGAGAUCUCAAAAUUCAAGAAAUCAUGUUAUAAAUCGAAAGUGCAGAAUUUUGAGGAAGUAAACCCAACACUUACAACAGAAUAUGUCUAUCUGCAAAACAGAAAAUAAUAAAAUAAUUACUUAAAACAAACAUGAAAGAAAUAGCAUAAAGUGGAGCAAAUAACUAUGGCUACCCAGAAUCACUCUCUGCUUUGGAUCAAUUCAUGUUCAGUGCCACCAAACAAAUCUCUCUUGUUGAAAUUUAAUCGAAAAGGAAACACAACUUACUAUGAUCCAAAUCGCUUAUAAACUGAUUCCAGCAUAAAUUCAUCCAAAACCCCAGAGGAUUUACAUUAACAAAUCCGAUGAAACCCUUCUCAGUGCCACCGACAUUCAAAGAAAAUCAAUUCGUGUCAAUAAGAAAAAACCAUUGACACUUGAAGCUGAUCAUCUGUUAGACCAACAAACAAAAUCCAAAAUAGAUCCUUCUACAUUCAUCCCAACAAAGAAUCAUAAACAUGAAAUUAUAGAACAAAAGAGAACUUAGAAAACAUAAUUGCUGAAUUAACCAUACAUAAAAUCGAAAAGGGUAAUAAGAAAUUCACUCAACCUAGCCCAACCAAAAUCACAAAUUAAUUUCAAAAUUACAGAGAGAACUAUAACUAAAUUGUAGAAGAAAUGUCUCAAACUAAGAAGGACGAGCAGGUAAAUAGAAAAGAUCGAGAGAUCGAAGGAGCAUAAUUCAUCACACAAAAAAUUUAAAUCCCUCCUCUCUCUCUCUCUUCCUUCCUAACUAAUUUGAUACCAAACGCCUGCAAGCACAAGUAGAAUAAAAAAAACGUUUUUUACAUCACAACUUUAAAACAAAUGUAAAGAGCAAGGCAAGUUCAAAUCUGGUUGGUCCUAAUAACCUUCUUCCUUCCCCAUUUGAGUGGAAACAAUUUCUUUCUCUUGUCAAAAAGAAACCACAAACAUAACACAUUCACAGAAAAUUCACAUAAAGAAAUCCAAUGAAACCCUAAAUUCAAAAAAG
This 1072-nucleotide long non-coding RNA is filed under the name Olea europaea subsp. europaea. The record is from RNAcentral. Lineage: Eukaryota; Viridiplantae; Streptophyta; Magnoliopsida; Lamiales; Oleaceae.